RNAcentral lists this unclassified non-coding RNA (646 nucleotides) under Hevea brasiliensis (rubber tree). Lineage: Eukaryota; Viridiplantae; Streptophyta; Magnoliopsida; Malpighiales; Euphorbiaceae. The record is from RNAcentral.
AUCGGUAUUGUAGAUACAAUCGCUGAUGCAGCAACUAUGGAGAAAAUCAAUGAAACUAUUUCACUUGCAAAAAAUGAAGUGAAGGAUCUUAUUACGAAGGCCCAAAACAAGGAGCUAGAGGCUGAACCUGGACGGACUAUGAUGGAAUCAUUUGAAAACAAAGUGAACCAGGUAUUGAACAAAGCUCGUGAUGAUGCGGGAAGCAGUGCCCAAAAGAGUUUAUCUGAGAGUAACAACCUCAAGGCCAUGGUUACUGCAGGAUCUAAGGGGAGUUUCAUUAACAUAUCACAGAUNGAUGACUGCUUGUGUGGGGCAGCAAAAUGUUGAGGGUAAGCGUAUACCAUAUGGUUUUGUAGAUCGGACUUUGCCCCACUUCACCAAGGAUGACUAUGGGCCAGAAAGUCGUGGGUUUGUGGAGAACUCAUAUCUGCGUGGGUUGACCCCCCAGGAGUUCUUCUUUCAUGCUAUGGGUGGUAGGGAAGGUCUUAUAGAUACUGCAGUGAAGACUUCUGAGACUGGGUACAUCCAGAGGCGGCUAGUGAAGGCCAUGGAGGAUAUCAUGGUUAAAUAUGAUGGCACUGUUAGGAAUUCACUAGGGGAUGUUAUUCAGUUUCUCUAUGGGGAAGAUGGUAUGGAUUCUGUCUGG